AAAUUCACGAUGGACGGGGUCAAUGGUGAUCAUGAAGGCCUAUGGCCUAGAGCAGUGAUCUUCAUUGCACUUUGAAGGGGUGUUGUUCUAAGAUCUGUCCAAGUGAGAGAGCCUACAUUAUAAUUUGUUUAAGAGGGAACCUCUCUUUGUGCAACCUCCAU
This 161-nucleotide small nuclear RNA is filed under the name Phaseolus vulgaris (common bean). RNAcentral's name for it is "snRNA U1". It matches the Rfam family "U1 spliceosomal RNA". Rfam says of the family: U1 is a small nuclear RNA (snRNA) component of the spliceosome (involved in pre-mRNA splicing). The record is from Rfam by way of RNAcentral. Lineage: Eukaryota; Viridiplantae; Streptophyta; Magnoliopsida; Fabales; Fabaceae.